UCUUAGGUGACUGAGUAUAAGUGUUAGACUUUUAAUCUAAAAACGGCUACUUAAAUCGGCCCCUAAGAA
This 69-nucleotide transfer RNA is filed under the name Semisulcospira coreana. RNAcentral's name for it is "tRNA-Lys". It matches the Rfam family "tRNA". From Rfam's summary of the family: Transfer RNA (tRNA) molecules are approximately 80 nucleotides in length. Their secondary structure includes four short double-helical elements and three loops (D, anti-codon, and T loops). Further hydrogen bonds mediate the characteristic L-shaped molecular structure. tRNAs have two regions of fundamental functional importance: the anti-codon, which is responsible for specific mRNA codon recognition, and the 3' end, to which the tRNAs corresponding amino acid is attached (by aminoacyl-tRNA synthetases). tRNAs cope with the degeneracy of the genetic code in two manners: having more than one tRNA (with a specific anti-codon) for a particular amino acid; and 'wobble' base-pairing, i.e. permitting non-standard base-pairing at the 3rd anti-codon position. The record is from RNAcentral. Lineage: Eukaryota; Metazoa; Mollusca; Gastropoda; Semisulcospiridae.